RNAcentral lists this long non-coding RNA (538 nucleotides) under Monodelphis domestica (gray short-tailed opossum). Its description in RNAcentral is "lncRNA (ENSMODG00000042013.1)". The record is from RNAcentral. Lineage: Eukaryota; Metazoa; Chordata; Mammalia; Didelphimorphia; Didelphidae.
GUAAUUAUGCGUGUGACAGAGGCUGCAUUGGCUCUCCCUGUGCCUAAGUGUGACCGGCAGCCACGUCAAUCAGACCAUGUGAGCUGCUGACAGUCCGUGUUUACCCAGUGGCAGAUGUGCCCUGACAAAGGAAUGAAAGGAAGGCUGGGGCUCUGGGGGCUCCGGGAGGGAGGAGACCAUGUUCCUUCAGCUGAUAGAAGACGCCCCUAAUUGGGAAAAAAAAAGAUCUCUACAAUGUCUCUGAAAAGUGGUCAUUGAGCUUCUGAGUGAAGAUUUCUCAUGAAGGAAAACUUGCUGCUUCUGUUUCCAUGCUUUCUCGGGCAUGGGCAAGCUCAGAAUCACAACCGGAAGAGGAAUGAAGAAUGACCAAAGUGAAGACUCCAUAAAGGAACUCACCAGUGGGAAAUGGGGCUGGAAUGGUCAGGAGGUAUUCCAGGGAACGCUGCCGCUGCUGCUUCCGACGGCCCCGUCAGCCUCCUUCUUGGGUGCUGUAUGGGAUCCAGAAGAGGUGGGGAAGGGAAGCAGCUCUGGUGAGUAA